UUCAUCAAAUUUCGAAAACGUUAAAAAAACAUUCAAAAACGUUUAAGAAAACAUUUGAAAGCGUUUAAGAAACAUAUAUGUUUCUUAAACAUAUCUUUUAUUUGUCCCGAGGAAGGUUUUUACCGAUUUACUCCUGAGGGCUUGUAGCUCAGUUGGUUAGAGCGCGCGCUUGAUAAGCGUGAGGUCGGAGGUUCAAGUCCUCCCAGGCCCACCAGUUUAUGAUUGCUGAUAAAGUUUUUUGCGAAUGUUUUGGUGGUUUUUGAUCUUGCAAUCUUUCAUUUUUAUGCUGCAAUCUUUCAAAAGUAUUUGGGCUGUUUUAGGGGCCGUAGCUCAGCUGGGAGAGCACCUGCUUUGCAAGCA
This 360-nucleotide transfer RNA is filed under the name uncultured Bartonella sp. Its description in RNAcentral is "partial 16S-23S ribosomal RNA intergenic spacer". The stretch from base 138 to 211 matches the Rfam family "tRNA". The record is from RNAcentral. Lineage: Bacteria; Pseudomonadati; Pseudomonadota; Alphaproteobacteria; Hyphomicrobiales; Bartonellaceae.